UACGAAGGGGGCUAGCGUUGUUCGGAUUUACUGGGCGUAAAGCGCACGUAGGCGGAUUCUUAAGUCAGGGGUGAAAUCCCGAGGCUCAACCUCGGAACUGCCUUUGAUACUGGGGAUCUCGAGUUCGGGAGAGGUGAGUGGAGUUGCGAGUGUAGAGGUGAAAUUCGUAGAUAUUCGCAAGAACACCAGUGGCGAAGGCGGCUCACUGGCCCGAUACUGACGCUGAGGUGCGAAAGCGUGGGGAGCAAACAGG
RNAcentral lists this ribosomal RNA (253 nucleotides) under uncultured bacterium. Its description in RNAcentral is "partial 16S ribosomal RNA". It matches the Rfam family "Bacterial small subunit ribosomal RNA", at positions 524 to 776 of the family's 1533-position model. The record is from RNAcentral.